AAAGGAAUUGACGGGGGCUCACACAAGCGGUGGAGCAUGUGGCUCAAUUCGAGGCAACGCGAAGAACCUUAUCCUAGGCUUGACAUGGUCGGAUUAGUUCCGUGAAAGCGGAAUGACACCUUCGGGUGGAACGAUCACAGGUGCUGCAUGGCUGUCGUCAGCUCGUGUCGUGAGAUGUCGGGUUUAGUCCUUCAACGAGCGAAACCCCUGUCUCUAGUUGCCAGCAUUCAGUUGGGGACUCUAGAGAGACCGCCGGUGUUAAACCGGAGGAAGGCGGGGACGACGUCAAGUCAUCACGGCCUUUAUGCCUAGGGCUGCACACGUGCUACAAUGGGGCGGACAAAGGGACGCGAACGCGCGAGCGGGAGCAAAUCUCAAAAACCGCCCCCCAGUUCAGAUUGCAGGCUGCAAUUCGCCUGCAUGAAGCCGGAAUCGCUAGUAAUCGCAGAUCAGCUAUGCUGCGGUGAAUGUGUUCCUGAGCCUUGCACACACCGCCCGUC
RNAcentral lists this ribosomal RNA (500 nucleotides) under uncultured bacterium. RNAcentral describes it as "bacterial SSU rRNA". It matches the Rfam family "Bacterial small subunit ribosomal RNA", at positions 903 to 1398 of the family's 1533-position model. The record is from RNAcentral.